GCGGGGUUGGCGGCGUCCGCCCCGGCCGCGGGCCUUGCGGCGUCCGCACCGGCCGCGAGCUUUGCGGCGCCCGCCCUGGCUGCGGUCCUGCCUCCUCCCGCAUCGGCUUCGGUGCCUCCGGCUGCCUCCAUGGUGUUUGCACCCCAGGCAGCCUCCUCGAUGGGAUUGUCUUCGCCGCCGCCGUUUCACUUCGGUCAUCUCAUCACCAUCAAGCUCUCCGCCGACAACUACAUCUUCUGGCGUGCGCAGGUUCUCCCGCUCUUGGGGAGUCACUACCUGCUAGGCUACGUCGACGGAUCGCUUCCCUGCCCACCCGCGCUGGUAGACAGCGUGCACGGUCCGGUCUACAAUCCGGCCCAUCGCAUUUGGACGGGGCAGGACCAGGCGAACCUCUCCUCCAUCCAAGGGUCGCUCUCGCCGGCAGUUGCCGGCCUUGUUGUCUUCGCGAAGACGUCUCAUGAGGCCUGGACCAUCCUUGAGCGCACCUUUGCAGCGCAGUCCCAGGCUCGUGUCUCUGCACUCCGUCGUCAGCUUGGAGAGUGUCAGAAGCUUGACUCCACUGCCACUGAGUUCUACAACAAGGUCAAGGGCCUCGCCGACACAUUGGCCUCCAUUGGACAGCCCCUCACCGACUCCGAGUUCAACUUGUUUAUUGUCAAUGGUCUUGAUGAGGAGUAUGAUGCUUUAGUCGAGAUCAUCAACGAGCGGGGCAACUCAACACCCAUGCUGGCACACGAGGUUUUCUCUCGGCUCCUUCUCACUGAGCAACGGGUCGAGACUCGCCGCACCAGGGGCACUGGCUCCCUCUCGGCCAACGCCGCCACCAAGGGUGGCCGCUCUUCUUCAUCACCCCGGUCUCCCUUGGGGCUGCCACCGUCGCCCGCCUCGGCCCCCCCACCUACUGCGACCUUACCGGGGGCUGGCGGUCCACGUGUGUGUCAGCUUUGUGGCCGCGAUGGGCACUGGGCCUCCAAGUGUCAUAAGCGCUUCCAGCGAAGCUUCCUUGGUCUUGGCAAUGACGGCAAAGAUACACACAACAAUGCCCGUCAGGUCGCCAUGGCUGAUCGUCCCGCGCCGCAAAAGCAACAGGGACACACUCAGUCCUACUCCAUCGAUCCACACUGGUACAUGGACUCUGGAGCGACAGAGCAUCUAACCAGCGAGAUGGGGAAGCUUCACACUCGUGAACCCUAUCAUGGCUCCAACAAGAUCCACACCGCCAAUGGAGCA
This 1230-nucleotide ribosomal RNA is filed under the name Triticum aestivum (bread wheat). Its description in RNAcentral is "partial small subunit ribosomal RNA". Lineage: Eukaryota; Viridiplantae; Streptophyta; Magnoliopsida; Poales; Poaceae. The record is from RNAcentral.